CAAAACCUAGGUCAACUUCUUCUUCUUCUCACAGUCAUUCACUCUUCUAACUUCCGCAUUUGAAACAAAUCGAAGCACAACCAUGGCCUCAAAACUCGAUUUCAAUCAAAACAACACAAAGCAUCCUUAAAGCCAAAUUCAAUCGAAACAAAAACACACACUCAACUUACAUUCAUUGCUAACGUGACAUCAAACAUAAUUCACAUCAUAAGCUAACAGAGGAUGGCAUGGUGAGCAGAAGCAAAAACAUUCUACACACAACAAAAAUAAACCUUAACCUCAACAAUCCUUAAAACCUCAAAUCUAAAUACAUUCAAGCAUCAAUCAUUAAAGGGAAUAAGGAUUUAAGCGAGCAAUCAACAAUACAAAUGUAAAUAAAAAUAACUCAAAAAGCUAUGAAUACUGAAUCGAAGCUUCUCAGCUUCGGUCAAAUAAGGUUUUAAGAAAUGAAUUUUACCAAAGUGGGCAUGGCUAGAGGUUGCUUGAAGAUAGAGAGGGCGCGUGACUUGAAUUCCUUUUGGACAAAAACAAAUGGAGGCUUUAAAAUCGUUAGAGUUUGGUUUACGUCAAUCUAAUUAACUAAAUUCCCCAUUUGGAGUUGGCAUGAGAUAAAGUGAAGCGAAAUUGGCCCAAAAGUGGAGAAAAGAGCACAUAAGCAUGAAGCACUUGAAGAGAUGGUGUUUUCAGCGUGUGGCAUUCACCAUAGGGGAAUGGCGAUCGCCAUGGCCCUCUUACUUGCCAUGUAACCCAAAUUAAACUCAUGGAGAACACCAUGAGGUCGUGGUGAACUCCAUGGACUUCGUGCCCAGAAUUUUAGUUGUUGCAUAACUGAGUUCUCUCCCACUCACCCACAUUUUCCUCAACUGAUUUUUGCAUGAAUUCUAUAUCACCUUAGAGUCACAACCCUAGAUAUAGGUUUAAUUUUUAGGUUUUAGGAAUCCAAGCUUUUUUUUUAGAGUUAAGUAGGCAGAAAAUUUACACUGUACAAUAAUACUCAAUUGUUCACUUCGGGCAAUUGGUGCAUCAUUGCUUUGCGAAUUCGGAAUUCAUAUGCUUGUACUUGGAUCAACGGUUAAUUAAUCUUGCCAUUAUUUUCA
Lathyrus oleraceus (garden pea) is the source of this 1097-nucleotide long non-coding RNA. RefSeq lists it as uncharacterized. NCBI's taxonomy places the organism in Eukaryota, Viridiplantae, Streptophyta, Magnoliopsida, Fabales, Fabaceae. The transcript is spliced from 3 exons. The record is from RefSeq and is a predicted model, not a curated record.